AGUACGCAUCUUUAGCGCUUUCCGUUCAGUGUCGCCGUUCUCACUUUUUUUUUUUUUAAUAGAUUUUUAUAUGACACACAUAAUUACAGAAACUUUAGCGUUUUGUUAAAACUCUCGAGACCAUGGUUACUGAAAGAGUUAUUCUGGAUGUCGCACAAUUUCGCCUUUUAAAUAUACUGUUAUGAACUUAUAACGCUAGAAUUCGUUGCAUUUGUUAUUAUGGAUUUCUGCGGUAUGGCAAUACGUUUAACAUGACGUGACACUUGUGCUGUGUUGCUCUCCAAGGAAACCGAUGCUCAGAGAACCAGCACUAAUGUUCUACUACUACUUAUUGGAAAUUGUCAGAACAUGAUGGAUGUGGAUCAUCAUGCUUUGCAGAAGGCUGGGGAGAAGUUUGCAUUCAUUUUAUAAAAAGCUGAAACCACUCCUCUGAAUUGGUGACAGUCUUUCAAGAACCCCCAUGAUCCAGCGUCCCUCCCAAUGGUACAACCUGUCAGCCCUGAACAUGGAGAGUUAUAAGGGGAAAACUUAGCGAUACGGUGACCUUGAUGAUAGUGUGACAGUCAUCGGUGAAGAACUUUGUUCCACCUGGAGGAGAUGAAGAUAUUUAGGUCCAUGUAAAUAAGCCCAUUUAGGUGCCGCUAGCAUCAGCUCAUGCUAAAAUAAAGACUGUUUUUGGAGGACGCAAUGGGCUUGCAUGAGACAAGUACUCCCAGAGAAGAGGAGGACACACCCCGGACAGGUUUAG
Cyprinus carpio (common carp) is the source of this 748-nucleotide long non-coding RNA. RefSeq lists it as uncharacterized. Lineage: Eukaryota; Metazoa; Chordata; Actinopteri; Cypriniformes; Cyprinidae. The record is from RefSeq and is a predicted model, not a curated record.